AAGUCGAACGGCAGCACGGGUGCUUGCACCUGGUGGCGAGUGGCGAACGGGUGAGUAAUAUAUCGGAACGUACCCUAGAGUGGGGGAUAACGCAGCGAAAGUUGCGCUAAUACCGCAUACGAUCUACGGAUGAAAGUGGGGGAUCGCAAGACCUCAUGCUCAUGGAGCGGCCGAUAUCUGAUUAGCUAGUUGGUGGGGUAAAAGCCUACCAAGGCAUCGAUCAGUAGCUGGUCUGAGAGGACGACCAGCCACACUGGAACUGAGACACGGUCCAGACUCCUACGGGAGGCAGCAGUGGGGAAUUUUGGACAAUGGGCGCAAGCCUGAUCCAGCAAUGCCGCGUGAGUGAAGAAGGCCUUCGGGUUGUAAAGCUCUUUUGUCAGGGAAGAAACGGUGAGGGCUAAUAUCCUUUGCUAAUGACGGUACCUGAAGAAUAAGCACCGGCUAACUACGUGCCAGCAGCCGCGGUAAUACGUAGGGUGCAAGCGUUAAUCGGAAUUACUGGGCGUAAAGCGUGCGCAGGCGGUUAUGUAAGUCAGAUGUGAAAUCCCCGGGCUCAACCUGGGAAUGGCAUUUGAGACUGCAUGGCUAGAGUGUGUCAGAGGGGGGUAGAAUUCCACGUGUAGCAGUGAAAUGCGUAGAGAUGUGGAGGAAUACCGAUGGCGAAGGCAGCCCCCUGGGAUAACACUGACGCUCAUGCACGAAAGCGUGGGGAGCAAACAGG
This 724-nucleotide ribosomal RNA is filed under the name uncultured Oxalobacteraceae bacterium. RNAcentral describes it as "bacterial SSU rRNA". It matches the Rfam family "Bacterial small subunit ribosomal RNA", at positions 59 to 776 of the family's 1533-position model. Lineage: Bacteria; Pseudomonadati; Pseudomonadota; Betaproteobacteria; Burkholderiales; Oxalobacteraceae. The record is from RNAcentral.